This 459-nucleotide ribosomal RNA is filed under the name uncultured bacterium. RNAcentral describes it as "partial 16S ribosomal RNA". It matches the Rfam family "Bacterial small subunit ribosomal RNA", at positions 338 to 795 of the family's 1533-position model. The record is from RNAcentral.
CCUACGGGAGGCAGCAGUGAGGAAUAUUGGUCAAUGGUCGGGAGACUGAACCAGCCAAGCCGCGUGAGGGAUGAAGGUACAGAGUAUCGUAAACCUCUUUUGUCAGGGAACAAAGGCGGGGACGUGUCCCCGGAUGAGUGUACCUGAAGAAAAAGCAUCGGCUAACUCCGUGCCAGCAGCCGCGGUAAUACGGAGGAUGCGAGCGUUUUCCGGAUUUAUUGGGUUAAAAGGGUGCGCAGGCGGUCUGUUAAGUCAGCGGUAAAAGCCCGGGGAUCAACCCCGGCCCGCCGUUGAAACUGGCAGUCUCGAGUUGGAGAGAAGUAUGCGGAAUGCGCGGUGUAGCGGUGAAAUGCAUAGAUAUCGCGCAGAACUCCGAUUGCGAAGGCAGCAUGCCGGCUCCACACUGACGCUGAGGCACGAAAGCGUGGGUAUCGAACAGGAUUAGAUACCCCUGUAGUC